AUGGCCUACCUGCAAAGCCCAUUGUUGAUGAUUGCUGGCUUCUGCCAACUCCGUAAAUUAGUACCAACCCUGUUCAUGGAUAUAGUUCUUGGAUAUAUAUUCUACAAGUUAAGUGUCCUAGCAGCAGAACUGAGAAGAAAUGGGAAGGCGAACCAUUUGUGCGCUCGGAUACAGCUCCUUCUCUUACUUAUUUUGUCAUUCAAGGGUAACAACGCUUUCUGGGAUGCUUACCGCCUCGUCACCGAGUUGAUCUGGUCCAUUGCUCUGGACGUGUACUUAGUAGCUGUCACCUUUGAAAUUAUCGACGAGGAGGAUCCGAGACCCGAAAUGCUAGGAAUUUACAAGAUACUAAAAACCAAAGGGGGCCUGACGAGGGUGAUAAAGAAUUGGAAUCUGAAAGAUGAGUAG
This 408-nucleotide ribosomal RNA is filed under the name Triticum aestivum (bread wheat). RNAcentral's name for it is "partial small subunit ribosomal RNA". The record is from RNAcentral. Lineage: Eukaryota; Viridiplantae; Streptophyta; Magnoliopsida; Poales; Poaceae.